GACGAACGCUGGCGGCGUGCCUAAUACAUGCAAGUAGAACGCUGAAGAGAGGAGCUUGCUCUUCUUGGAUGAGUUGCGAACGGGUGAGUAACGCGUAGGUAACCUGCCUUGUAGCGGGGGAUAACUAUUGGAAACGAUAGCUAAUACCGCAUAACAAUGGAUGACACAUGUCAUUUAUUUGAAAGGGGCAAUUGCUCCACUACAAGAUGGACCUGCGUUGUAUUAGCUAGUAGGUGAGGUAACGGCUCACCUAGGCGACGAUACAUAGCCGACCUGAGAGGGUGAUCGGCCACACUGGGACUGAGACACGGCCCAGAAUCCUACGGGAGGCAGCAGUAGGGAAUCUUCGGCAAUGGGGGCAACCCUGACCGAGCAACGCCGCGUGAGUGAAGAAGGUUUUCGGAUCGUAAAGCUCUGUUGUAAGUCAAGAACGAGUGUGAGAGUGGAAAGUUCACACUGUGACGGUAGCUUACCAGAAAGGGACGGCUAACUACGUG
Molecule: ribosomal RNA, 497 nt
Filed under: uncultured bacterium
Lineage: Bacteria
Description: partial 16S ribosomal RNA
Rfam family: Bacterial small subunit ribosomal RNA
Source: RNAcentral